AUGGAAACAGCAACUAACUAUGGCUCUUGACCUAGACAACGUCCUAGGCGUAGGGGAGAUCAAAACAAGAAGUCACGCCUAGACGACGACGCCCGUCCUGGGCUACUCUGGCGAGCGAUCCUAGUCCGUGGCAGGGAACAAGAUAGCAAGCGAGCGUACCUUUGUUCGCUUCUUUUCCACCAAGCACAGAAGUUUAAUGAGAACUGUAGGUCGGUGGCUACCUAA
Molecule: ribosomal RNA, 225 nt
Filed under: Triticum aestivum (bread wheat)
Lineage: Eukaryota; Viridiplantae; Streptophyta; Magnoliopsida; Poales; Poaceae
Description: partial small subunit ribosomal RNA
Source: RNAcentral